Acanthosepion pharaonis is the source of this 105-nucleotide non-coding RNA. The record is from the annotation of a GenBank genome assembly. Lineage: Eukaryota; Metazoa; Mollusca; Cephalopoda; Sepiida; Sepiidae.
CAUCACAUUGAAACACCGGCUCUCGUACGAUCACUGAAGUUAAACAACAUCGAGCCUGGUCAGUACCUAGAUGGGUGACUGCUUGGGAACACCAGUUACUGUAAG